Molecule: long non-coding RNA, 1320 nt
Organism: Malaya genurostris
Lineage: Eukaryota; Metazoa; Arthropoda; Insecta; Diptera; Culicidae
Exons: 4
Source: RefSeq, a predicted model, not a curated record
CGUUAAUAAAAAAAUCCGGUGAAGAGAUUUUUGGUAUAGGUUUCAAACAGAAAUUGCAAGUAGUACGACUAUCAGCAAAUUACCCCAAGUAAUUUGUCUAUUCCAUCAGCUUAUUACCGCGAGUAAUUUGUCUAAGUUUAGUACGAAUCAAAUUAAAGUCUAGUACGAAUCAAAUUAAAGUAGUUUCAAAACAGCCCUCGGUUAAUUUGAAUUCGAGUUGCACUGAAGAAGCAGCGUGUAGCUUCGCAAAGCACACAUGCAUUCGAACAUACACACAUACUCUGUUGUCUGUGUACUAAUUAUAAAUCCCAAAAUUAAUGUUGCAAGUGCACCGCACAUGUAUUUAAUUGCACAGAAGUCUAUCGACAGAAUGUUUAAAUAGUGCCUCGUUCUCCGUAUGUGAUUGCAAUUACUGGUGGGAGCUAAUUUGAUCUUUGUUGCGUAUUUUGUUACAUGAUUUGAUGAAGAUUUCCUCUCCAAUGCACAGGAUGCCUGGCAGGAUAGAUCUUGAAACCACCGCACUUUGGCAUGGUUGUAUGCUAGAAUAUCCUUCUUGACCCUUGCUUCAGAUACAGUACAGCUAUUCUCACGGAUGUAAUUCAGGAUAGAAGGACGUUCAGGUUUGAGCAAAUAAAUACAAUCAGUAAACAUGAAAAGGAAGGCGACAGACACGUGAGAACUUGCAAUGACAGCUGAUAUUGAGAGCCGACUUCAAACCAGAUAAGACAACUCCUGUAGAAUCGGUGCACGGUGUGUUCGUGUGAGUUUCUGUGAACUGUGGUGUUCAUCAGCCGCUUAAUUCGCGAGACUCUUUGGCAUCGAUUUACGAAAACAGACCGCGCGUUUGAAGAACAUUCCUGAUGAACACAAUUUUUUUUGUAGACAUACCGGCGAUCAGAGAGGAUUUUUUUGUCAUCUUUCUGUCGAUCCAUCGCACGAUUCCAUAUUCGGAACCAUUUGCGGAUAGAAAGAAAGCGACCAGCUCACUUGACCAUGCCACUUCAUCUAAGGAAAGUUUUGUUUUAGAUUUUUGUUUUUUUUUUAACAACAAUCAGAUGUUACUCUGCGACCGAAUAUGUGUAAUAGGUAACAAUUUAAUGUAGCGAUUCAAACCAAGUCUGUCAGUUUCACAAUCAUUGACAGCAACUGCAAUAUUCAGUAAUGAGAUCAGUAGCUGAUCAAUUAGGCCCGUAAUAACAUACAACUCACUUAUAUAAGCAGAAUGAAUCGAAUGAACCGGUUUGGGUCUCAACAUAUAAACUAAAAUUACUUUACUUACAAAUCAACUUGUUGUUAAAUGAUCGCAUUAAUUAUUUGGAU